Molecule: ribosomal RNA, 3860 nt
Filed under: Staphylococcus aureus
Lineage: Bacteria; Bacillati; Bacillota; Bacilli; Caryophanales; Staphylococcaceae
Description: 23S ribosomal RNA
Rfam family: Bacterial large subunit ribosomal RNA (bases 938-3860)
Source: RNAcentral
UUAAGUUAUUAAGGGCGCACGGUGGAUGCCUUGGCACUAGAAGCCGAUGAAGGACGUUACUAACGACGAUAUGCUUUGGGGAGCUGUAAGUAAGCUUUGAUCCAGAGAUUUCCGAAUGGGGAAACCCAGCAUGAGUUAUGUCAUGUUAUCGAUAUGUGAAUACAUAGCAUAUCAGAAGGCACACCCGGAGAACUGAAACAUCUUAGUACCCGGAGGAAGAGAAAGAAAAUUCGAUUCCCUUAGUAGCGGCGAGCGAAACGGGAAGAGCCCAAACCAACAAGCUUGCUUGUUGGGGUUGUAGGACACUCUAUACGGAGUUACAAAGGACGACAUUAGACGAAUCAUCUGGAAAGAUGAAUCAAAGAAGGUAAUAAUCCUGUAGUCGAAAAUGUUGUCUCUCUUGAGUGGAUCCUGAGUACGACGGAGCACGUGAAAUUCCGUCGGANGCGGCUGGAUCACCUCCUUUCUAAGGAUAUAUUCGGAACAUCUUCUUCAGAAGAUGCGGAAUAACGUGACAUAUUGUAUUCAGUUUUGAAUGUUUAUUUAACAUUCAAAUAUUUUUUGGUUAAAGUGAUAUUGCUUAUGCGAGCGCUUGACAAUCUAUUCUUUUUAAAGAAAGCGAUUGUCAGACAAUGCAUUAAGAAAAAUUAAAGCGGAGUUUACUUUUGUAAAUGAGCAUUUGAUUUUUUGAAAAUAAAGCAGUAUGCGAGCGCUUGACUAAAAAGAAAUUGUACAUUGAAAACUAGAUAAGUAAGUAAAAUAUAGAUUUUACCAAGCAAAACCGAGUGAAUAAAGAGUUUUAAAUAAGCUUGAAUUCAUAAGAAAUAAUCGCUAGUGUUCGAAAGAACACUCACAAGAUUAAUAACGCGUUUAAAUCUUUUUAUAAAAGAACGUAACUUCAUGUUAACGUUUGACUUAUAAAAAUGGUGGAAACAUAGAUUAAGUUAUUAAGGGCGCACGGUGGAUGCCUUGGCACUAGAAGCCGAUGAAGGACGUUACUAACGACGAUAUGCUUUGGGGAGCUGUAAGUAAGCUUUGAUCCAGAGAUUUCCGAAUGGGGAAACCCAGCAUGAGUUAUGUCAUGUUAUCGAUAUGUGAAUACAUAGCAUAUCAGAAGGCACACCCGGAGAACUGAAACAUCUUAGUACCCGGAGGAAGAGAAAGAAAAUUCGAUUCCCUUAGUAGCGGCGAGCGAAACGGGAAGAGCCCAAACCAACAAGCUUGCUUGUUGGGGUUGUAGGACACUCUAUACGGAGUUACAAAGGACGACAUUAGACGAAUCAUCUGGAAAGAUGAAUCAAAGAAGGUAAUAAUCCUGUAGUCGAAAAUGUUGUCUCUCUUGAGUGGAUCCUGAGUACGACGGAGCACGUGAAAUUCCGUCGGAAUCUGGGAGGACCAUCUCCUAAGGCUAAAUACUCUCUAGUGACCGAUAGUGAACCAGUACCGUGAGGGAAAGGUGAAAAGCACCCCGGAAGGGGAGUGAAAUAGAACCUGAAACCGUGUGCUUACAAGUAGUCAGAGCCCGUUAAUGGGUGAUGGCGUGCCUUUUGUAGAAUGAACCGGCGAGUUACGAUUUGAUGCAAGGUUAAGCAGUAAAUGUGGAGCCGUAGCGAAAGCGAGUCUGAAUAGGGCGUUUAGUAUUUGGUCGUAGACCCGAAACCAGGUGAUCUACCCUUGGUCAGGUUGAAGUUCAGGUAACACUGAAUGGAGGACCGAACCGACUUACGUUGAAAAGUGAGCGGAUGAACUGAGGGUAGCGGAGAAAUUCCAAUCGAACCUGGAGAUAGCUGGUUCUCUCCGAAAUAGCUUUAGGGCUAGCCUCAAGUGAUGAUUAUUGGAGGUAGAGCACUGUUUGGACGAGGGGCCCCUCUCGGGUUACCGAAUUCAGACAAACUCCGAAUGCCAAUUAAUUUAACUUGGGAGUCAGAACAUGGGUGAUAAGGUCCGUGUUCGAAAGGGAAACAGCCCAGACCACCAGCUAAGGUCCCAAAAUAUAUGUUAAGUGGAAAAGGAUGUGGCGUUGCCCAGACAACUAGGAUGUUGGCUUAGAAGCAGCCAUCAUUUAAAGAGUGCGUAAUAGCUCACUAGUCGAGUGACACUGCGCCGAAAAUGUACCGGGGCUAAACAUAUUACCGAAGCUGUGGAUUGUCCUUUGGACAAUGGUAGGAGAGCGUUCUAAGGGCGUUGAAGCAUGAUCGUAAGGACAUGUGGAGCGCUUAGAAGUGAGAAUGCCGGUGUGAGUAGCGAAAGACGGGUGAGAAUCCCGUCCACCGAUUGACUAAGGUUUCCAGAGGAAGGCUCGUCCGCUCUGGGUUAGUCGGGUCCUAAGCUGAGGCCGACAGGCGUAGGCGAUGGAUAACAGGUUGAUAUUCCUGUACCACCUAUAAUCGUUUUAAUCGAUGGGGGGACGCAGUAGGAUAGGCGAAGCGUGCGAUUGGAUUGCACGUCUAAGCAGUAAGGCUGAGUAUUAGGCAAAUCCGGUACUCGUUAAGGCUGAGCUGUGAUGGGGAGAAGACAUUGNGUCUUCGAGUCGUUGAUUUCACACUGCCGAGAAAAGCCUCUAGAUAGAAAAUAGGUGCCCGUACCGCAAACCGACACAGGUAGUCAAGAUGAGAAUUCUAAGGUGAGCGAGCGAACUCUCGUUAAGGAACUCGGCAAAAUGACCCCGUAACUUCGGGAGAAGGGGUGCUCUUUAGGGUUAACGCCCAGAAGAGCCGCAGUGAAUAGGCCCAAGCGACUGUUUAUCAAAAACACAGGUCUCUGCUAAACCGUAAGGUGAUGUAUAGGGGCUGACGCCUGCCCGGUGCUGGAAGGUUAAGAGGAGUGGUUAGCUUCUGCGAAGCUACGAAUCGAAGCCCCAGUAAACGGCGGCCGUAACUAUAACGGUCCUAAGGUAGCGAAAUUCCUUGUCGGGUAAGUUCCGACCCGCACGAAAGGCGUAACGAUUUGGGCACUGUCUCAACGAGAGACUCGGUGAAAUCAUAGUACCUGUGAAGAUGCAGGUUACCCGCGACAGGACGGAAAGACCCCGUGGAGCUUUACUGUAGCCUGAUAUUGAAAUUCGGCACAGCUUGUACAGGAUAGGUAGGAGCCUUUGAAACGUGAGCGCUAGCUUACGUGGAGGCGCUGGUGGGAUACUACCCUAGCUGUGUUGGCUUUCUAACCCGCACCACUUAUCGUGGUGGGAGACAGUGUCAGGCGGGCAGUUUGACUGGGGCGGUCGCCUCCUAAAAGGUAACGGAGGCGCUCAAAGGUUCCCUCAGAAUGGUUGGAAAUCAUUCAUAGAGUGUAAAGGCAUAAGGGAGCUUGACUGCGAGACCUACAAGUCGAGCAGGGUCGAAAGACGGACUUAGUGAUCCGGUGGUUCCGCAUGGAAGGGCCAUCGCUCAACGGAUAAAAGCUACCCCGGGGAUAACAGGCUUAUCUCCCCCAAGAGUUCACAUCGACGGGGAGGUUUGGCACCUCGAUGUCGGCUCAUCGCAUCCUGGGGCUGUAGUCGGUCCCAAGGGUUGGGCUGUUCGCCCAUUAAAGCGGUACGCGAGCUGGGUUCAGAACGUCGUGAGACAGUUCGGUCCCUAUCCGUCGUGGGCGUAGGAAAUUUGAGAGGAGCUGUCCUUAGUACGAGAGGACCGGGAUGGACAUACCUCUGGUGUACCAGUUGUCGUGCCAACGGCAUAGCUGGGUAGCUAUGUGUGGACGGGAUAAGUGCUGAAAGCAUCUAAGCAUGAAGCCCCCCUCAAGAUGAGAUUUCCCAACUUCGGUUAUAAGAUCCCUCAAAGAUGAUGAGGUUAAUAGGUUCGAGGUGGAAGCAUGGUGACAUGUGGAGCUGACGAAUACUAAUCGAUCGAAGACUUAAUCAA